AAAGAUCGCAGCCUGCGGCAGCUCCUACAGGGGAUCACAUUCAAAUGUAGGAGCUGCCGCAGGCUGCGAUCUUU
RNAcentral lists this unclassified non-coding RNA (74 nucleotides) under Pseudomonas helmanticensis. Lineage: Bacteria; Pseudomonadati; Pseudomonadota; Gammaproteobacteria; Pseudomonadales; Pseudomonadaceae. The record is from RNAcentral.